CGGGGUGCAGCAGGCGCGAAAACUUUACAAUGCUGGCAACAGCGAUAAGGGGACCUCGAGUGCCAGGAUACAAUCUUGGCUGUCGCGAUGCCUAAAAAGCAUUGCAUAGCAAGGGCCGGGCAAGACCGGUGCCAGCCGCCGCGGUAACACCGGCGGCUCGAGUGGUAACCGCUAUUAUUGGGUCUAAAGGGUCUGUAGCCGGCCGGAUAAGUCUUUUGGGAAAUCCAGCUGCUCAACAGUUGGGCUUUCAGAAGAUACUGUUCGGCUCGAGACCGGGAGAGGUGAGAGGUACUUCAGGGGUAGGGGUGAAAUCUUGUAAUCCUUGAAGGACCACCAGUGGCGAAGGCGUCUCACCAGAACGGAUCUGACGGCAAGGGACGAAAGCUAGGGGCACGAACCGGAUUAGAUACCCGGGUAGUCCUAGCCGUAAACGAUACUCGCUAGGUGUCAGCCACGGUGCGACCGUGGUUGGUGCCGUAGGGAAGCCGUGAAGCGAGCCACCUGGGAAGUACGGCCGCAAGGCUGAAACUUAAAG
RNAcentral lists this ribosomal RNA (535 nucleotides) under uncultured archaeon. RNAcentral describes it as "bacterial SSU rRNA". It matches the Rfam family "Archaeal small subunit ribosomal RNA", at positions 326 to 861 of the family's 1478-position model. The record is from RNAcentral.